Molecule: long non-coding RNA, 34642 nt
Filed under: Linum usitatissimum (flax)
Lineage: Eukaryota; Viridiplantae; Streptophyta; Magnoliopsida; Malpighiales; Linaceae
Description: long non-coding RNA (LUSI_LNC006001)
Source: RNAcentral
CUUUUUUUUUUUUUUUUUUUUUUUUUUUUUUUUUUUUUUUUUUUUUUUUUUUUUUUUUUUUUUUUUUUUUUUUUUUUUUUUUUUUUUUUUUUUUUUUUUUUUUUUUUUUUUUUUUUUUUUUUUUUUUUUUUUUUUUUUUUUUUUUUUUUUUUUUUUUUUUUUUUUUUUUUUUUUUUUUUUUUAUUUUUUUUCUUUUUUUUUUAUUGUCUGUUUUUUUCUUUUAUCCUGUUUUUCUUCCUUUUCAAGAUCUUGAAAAGAGAGAGAAAAUGAGAGAGAGAGAAUGAGAAAGAGAAAACGAGGGAAAGAGAAUGAGAGCAAGAGAGAGAGAGAGGAGGAGAAAUUUUUGGAGUUUUUUUAUUUUUAGUGGCUUUGAUAUUGAAAAUACUAUAUAAAGAAUUUUAGAUGAAAUCAGUCAGUUGAUACAAUUAUUGUUGUUAUGUGCUAUUAUCGUAUGAUAAGCGGGUGGGGCUUUUCUUGUUUUCGUAAACAUCAAGAUUUUAUUGGUUGGGUCUAUGAUUCCAGCCUACAUGAUACUCAAAAGGGCCCUGGUUCAUCUGGAAAUGAAAAGUGCUUUAUGAACGUUUGGAUUGGUGCUUCCUUGACUCGGUUUGGUAACUUCAAUUUCUACCCACCUAUAUCGUGUUAAGUCGGAUCACCGACCUAUUUUCAUGGUUGCGACCAAGCUCAAGAAGUCAAAUCUUCCUCAUACCUUUCGCUUUAUGGCUUCAUGGUUGUCACAUGUUGAGUUUAAGCCUUUUUUUGUCGGAAUGGAAUCGGUCUUUUACCUUUAUUCAUCAGAUGUCCAUUCGAGCUACCAAACUGAAAAAAUGAAAUAAGGAAAUUUUUGGCAACAUCCAAACGAAUAGAAGGAGCUUAUCUUUAAACUUGCUGAUGUUUAAGCUCUCGCAGCUCCUCUACUCAUUCAAGACACCACAAUGGACAUUGCAAGUGACCGGAAUACUCAUUUUUUUCACGUAUCCACCUUCCGUAGGCGUGCUCGGAACCACAUUAUUAAGUGAAGGAUGACUGUGGGGUGUGUAUUCAUUAGGUUUGGGAGUCGGUUAAUUUGGUUAAUAACCAUCGGUUAAUGGUCGGGAAGCGCUUUGAUGAUUGAAAUUAAUUAACCAAAUUAACCGACCGAGCAAAAGCCACGGUUAAUCUUACCGACCGAUAACCGACCAAUCAGUUAAAUGAUCGAUUAUUAACAGACUGACUCUCGGUUAACCGUUGUAACCGGCUCUGACCAAUUUAACUCUCUUCUCAUAUUGCAACAAGAUUCUAGGCUCUGGCUCUAGAUCCGUCGUCGAUUCAAGCCUUGGAGACCAUAGCUUCUCUUCUGGAAACAAUCCGGUGCUCUACAACUUGAUCCUUCGGGACUGGAAGCUUUCCGAGACGGCGUUGUUGCGGAUCAGUAAGGAGAGGAGGAAGCUUCAAGCCUAUGGUGUUGCAGAUCGAAGAAUUGAGAGAGUGGAGGAGGAGAGGAUUGGCCGUGGCGACGAAGGAAGCAUGUGGUGUUGCAGAUCGAAGAAUCGAGAGAGUGGAGGAGGAGAGGAGCGCUUGCGGUGACUCGUCGUGGUCGUCGUCGUGACUGCCGGCGAGAUGCUGAAAUUGAAUCGCUUGGAUUGAUAGAGUUGUCGAGAUGGAUUGAUGGAGUUGUCGAGAUGGAUUGAUGGAGAUGGCUCGGAGUUAACCUAAUUUCAGAAUGAGAGGUUGUGAUGGAGUGGGAGGCUGGGAGGGGAGGGAGCGAUUCUGCGAUUGUGGUGAGCAAAGCUUGAUUUCCUAAUUGGGGACCUUGGUUUUUUUAAUUACCGGUUAACGUUGGUUAACUCGAGUUAACCAACGAUUUUACCCUGCUCCAACAAGUACUCCCAACUGUUCCCCGACCGACCCCUACCUCGGUUAAACCGACACUCUAACCGAGUCGAUCAGUUCAUCUGUUUAACCUAUUAACCGAGACUGAUGGCCCACCCUUAGUAUUCAUCCAGCUUGUUGCUGCAAUUAGUGUCGUAUUGAUAUGGUUGAGAGAGGAUAAAAUAUGCUUGAUUUCAAGUUCUCCAACUUGAAAGGUUUAGCUGUUAAAAAUGUAGAGGUCAUGACUGAGUACUGAUUUCCAGCAAGGAGAAGUUGGAUAUUUGCUUGCGAUAAAAAAGAAUUUGGACAGUCUAUCUUAGGCACAAAAUCUAACGGAUGAGAUGGCAACUUUACUUCAGGGGCCUAUUGGUCAUUUUAAAAUUUUCUUGUUUUUCAGUUUAUUUUUCCAUUCUGUUUAAUAUUGGUUCAAGUAAAAUGAUUUCUUGUAAAUUGGGUCUAUUGAGUAACGUGGGUGGGUAGACUUUAUUGCUCCCAUCGAGCUUGACGUGAUAUUUUCUUCUUCGUUUCUUUAACAUGCAUAAAUUGUAUAUAAUACGAAAGGUUGGAAAUAUAUGUGAAGCUCGAGGUUUAUUAUAUAUGUUUCGAGGUUUAUUAUAUAUGUUGAACCUUUUUGCCAAUUGGUUAUUUUUAUCAUGUAGUGCCUUAUCAAGUAAAGGGAAUGGUUGUUUUUAUCUACUGUCACUAGCCAACUUUCUUUCUCAUGUGAUCAAUUAUUUGAUCACGCAUGAAUGACUACAGUACACAAAAGAUAGAAAUAUUAUAAAAACAAAAAACAAAUAUUAAAAAAAAAUACCUAAAAAGCAGGUACAUAACAACAAAAACAAUAACCGUAAAUAUCAAGUACAUGAAAGCGGAUGCUCAAAAUAAGCACGCACACAUUAAAAACUUUGGUACAUACAAGGCAAGAAAAUCGAGAACAUAUUGGAACUCGAGUACCGGAAUUGGUACGGUAUUAAGUACAACGUGAAGAAAUAUCAAGUACAUUAAAAAGCGAGUAUAUAACAAUAGAAAUAAGUACACGAAAACAACUCAGAGAAAUGAUAAUUUGAUUGCCAAAAUUGAGUAUGAUAAAGUAAAAUGCAAGCACGUAGUACAUGAAACAAAUAUGAGUAAGAGUACAUAAAUUUUUUAGUACAAUACAAGACAAAAACUCAAAUACAUAUAAAAACUGGACACUAAAAAAAAUAAUUAAUUAUUCACAAUUUUAAAUAAUAAUAGUCACGAUUUUUAUCAUGAUUAACAGAAGCUAGUCACGAAAAUAAAUCCGUAACUAACCUAACCGAUGCUAGAUGAACUUGUCACGAAUCUGAAUAACCUGUAACUAAGUUGUCACCGAAAUUUUCCGUGACCAACUCAUCACGGAAGAAACCGUGAACAUAUGUGUUUUUGUUUUUGUUUUUUAAAUUAGUGGCACGGAGCCAUAUGCUGUGAUAAUUGAUUUAUUAAUAAAUUAAUCCCACAUCUCCGUGGCUACUAUAUCACCAGAAUUUCCAGAUUCCGGCAACCACAAUUUCCAGAAUCCGGCAAUAAGAUAGAGUUGAUAAUUGCUUUUUUAUUAGAGUAAAAUGUUCUACAUCUAUACAUUAUGAUACCCAUAUCAAAAUUCCAGAAUCCCAAAAUUGAACAUAACGUCAACGAAAGGCACCAUGCAACAAUGGUGACACUAAGGGUUACAACAACCAGCAAAACCGAAACACAGACUGGAAAUGCUACCAAGAGAAGGAUGAGACUAGAUGAUGAGAUUGAGAUUGAGAGAAGAAAAAUGAUAGUAAGAAAUUUUGUUUUCGAGAGAGAUCAAAUGAAGAUGAGAUCUACUUCUAAUUUAAUAUAAUGGAAAUGGAGAUAUGGUUGUUUAAUGGCAAAGAGAGAAGAAAGGAAUAGCCCAUUAAACGAGGAUAGAGUCUGCAUCAUUUCUUUUUUCGACCUUUUCCCACUAAAAUGCUAAUUUUAAAAUUAUAAAUAAAAGUUGGUCACGGUUCCAACAUUUACCGUGAGUAGUUGGUCGCGGUAUUCAACAAUCCAUGACUAGUUAUGGAUUUUUUUUUAUCUAUAAGUAGUUAGUCAUGGUUUUUAAAGCCGUGAUUAAUAAAUCGUGAUUAAUCGUUGAUUUUUUUUGUAGUGCGAGUAUGAGUAUUGAGUAAAACGUCAUGUACAAAAACAAGUACAUCAAAAGCGAGUACAUAAUUAUCAAAACAAGUACUAAAACGAGAGGAAAAGUACAUAAAAAGCGAGUAUAUAAUAAUAGAAACAAGUGCAGUAAAAAUCAAGUGCAUGAAAGGAAAACGAAACUCAAACUAAACACUAAUACAAAAAAAACUUUAGUACGCAAAUAAGUAAAUACAAGAAAAUUAACAUACACAAACGAAUACAUAAGAGUAUAGUGUUUAAACAAAGCGAUUAUACGGAUCAAUACGAUGUUGAGUACAAAACAACAACUUGAGGCUUUAUCCCUCAUUUUUAGAUGAUUUUGUACUAAGUUCUUAUAUGUAUUAGUUUUUAUUAAUGUAAUCCCUCGUGUACUUUGUCUUUGGAUUUAUUUUUAUGCCAUAUCUAUUUAUUUACGCAUUUGUGUAUACUUAUAUUUUUAGAACUUUAUACUCAAAUCAAUUAAUCAAACAAUAAAACUAUUUUCUCUUUACACGAACCAACAUAAUAACCCAUCACCCCAUACAGGGUUGUGAAGGAGGUGCAGUGACCAGAAUUUUCUAGUUGUUGCUUUUCUAUAGUUUGAUAAGGGUAAGCAUCUUGUUCUAGAAUAUAUGUUGUUAGGUUAUAACAAUGCAUCUAGUUGAGCAUGAUUCUUUGGUCAAGUGUUACUGGGAUUCUUUUUGUUCCACAUCAAUGCUCGGAGGUCGAAGAGGCAACGAGGGUGACGAAGAAAUCGGCAUCACCACGUGAGAGAAGAUGAAGAAGAGGUCAGAGAGUGGAGCCGGUGGAAAAGAUAUACUAGAAGAGGUACUUAAAGUUACUUGUACGACAAAACUGCCCUUAUUCAAUUGGACAACCCCUAGAUUAAAAUUUAAAAAUGAACGGACGCGAUUCGUUUGCGGCCAGCAAACACAUAAUAUCAUGGCUGCCUAUCCGGACUCGUCAUAACUGGCGUCAACAUUACGUAGUGUUGUCAAAAAUUAAAAAGGGGAAUAUAUAAUAAUAAUAAUAACAGACGUAAUCUUGUGUAUAUAAUGAUAUUAAAACGUUUUUCAAUCGACAAAGCCAAGUCUGCGGGAGGAACAGCUAAUGGACGAACAGCCUAAGCAUAAGCCGCCUUCUUCGUAUUCUUCAGAUUCUCUGAAUCUCUACCCUUUUUUUUUGUUACGCGGAUUCCCUUCCCUCGUCUGCAAACAAAAAGCUCUUCGUUGACUUUUUAGCAGGCUUUUUUAAAAAACCUUAAUUGAAAAAAUUUGUACAUGGUUGUUGCCUUUGUUGGCGUCAGCAUGACCCAAUGCUGUUGUCAUGUUCAUGAUUGCUCCAACUCACCUGGCUGCGCAUCUGCCUUCUGACCUGACCUGCCCUCCUCCUUUUUUUUAAAUUAUGUUUCCCCAAAAUUAAAUUUAAAUCGUUACAAAAUUGGUCUCUCCUUCUCCUAUAUAUAACGUGGAAGAGCUCCUGCCAAAAAAGUCAUUCAAACUCAAAGCAGAUAAAUUAUCAAAAUAAAAAAGAAAACCCCAGUGCUCUGCCUGCCGUUAAGAAAUUAGUUUAUUGGGUUUGUUGUGUUUAUGAAAGCUGUGUUCCAGAGACUGAUAUCGUCAAGCACCCAGAUUGGCUGUAGGAAGAAAGUUGCAUCUUUUCCAUUAAUCAGAAGCGCUAAUAUGUCUGAAUCCUCUGCCUUUGAUUCUCCGAGAUUGGUGACCAAGAAGGUCCUUGCUAAGCUUCAGCGUGAAGGGGAUGGUGCUUCUGUCAGGAGAAGCAUUGGAAGGUAUAAUAUAAUAUAUCAUGGAUGGAUGGAUGGAUAUACAAUUUUCUUCUUGUCAAAAUUGAAUUAACUGUUUUCGUUUCUGUGGUGAAAUUGAAUGAUUGAAUGUUGAAUUAUUUUGGUUCAGGAGUGAGCUCAGGUCUCUGGACCCUUUCCUCAUGUUGGAUGAGUUUUCAGGUCUGCUUUGCUUAAUUACUUGAAACCAAAUUCCUUGAUAUUUUCUAGAAUUAGGAUGAUGAUGGAUGAUGGAUGGUAUUUAAUUUGUUGUUGCAAAUUGCAAUGCAUGAAGUCUCAGCUCCUGCUGGAUUUCCUGAUCAUCCACACAGAGGUUUUGAGACUGUUACAUACAUGCUGGAGGUACAGACAGUACUGGAGUUAAUUAUUUAUUAUGAAUUGAAGGCUGUUUUUUGUCCUUGGUAGUCUAUUUAUUGAUGUCUGUGAAAUUCGUGGGUGGCACUGGCAGGGAUCAUUCACUCAUCAAGAUUUUUCUGGGCAUAGAGGGACUAUUCAUGCCGGGGAUGUUCAAGUAAAAUAAUUCACUCAAUUACAAUACUACGACGUUUACUUAAUUAGCUAGCUUUACUUGAUCAAAGUCAAAAACUCUUUCUUUUUUUAAAGUAAACAACAACAACAACUUGUGUGUUUUCCUGUUGGGCAGUGGAUGACAGCAGGUAGAGGGAUAGUCCAUUCAGAAAUGCCUGCAGGAGAAGGAGUCCAGAGAGGCCUUCAGCUUUGGAUAAACCUCUCUUCUCAACAUAAAAUGUAUGUUUUUAUUUCCUUUUUUGUUUGUACUUUCCAACUUCACCAUUCCAACAGUUUGUAAUAUGGAACCAACAGGAUUGAGCCAAGGUAUCAGGAACUUCUGAGGCAGGACAUCAAAAGAGCAGAGAAAGACGGGGUUGAAGUCCGAAUCAUAGCAGGGGAAUCAAUGGAAAUCGAGUCUCCAGUUUAUACAAGGACCCCAACAAUGUACCUUGAUUUCACACUGCAACCAAGGUCCCAAAUGCACCAGCCCAUUCCAGAAUUAUGGAACGCAUUCAUUUACGUCAUUGAAGGUGAGGGAGUGUUUGGGAUCCCAAACUCCUCACCAGUUGAAGCACAUCAUACACUCGUUCUAGGCCCUGGUGAAGGAAUGAGCGCCUGGAACAACUCCUCUUCCAAACCCUUGAGGUUUGUCUUGAUUGCAGGCCAGCCACUUAACCAACCAGUGGUGCAGCAUGGUCCUUUUGUCAUGAACACAGAAUCUGAAAUCCACCAAGCAAUUGAAGAUUACCACUACUCCAAAAAUGGGUUUGAAAUGGCGCAGUAUUGGAGUUCCCAAUAGGGAACAAGUAAGUGCUUGGAUCACUCAAAACCAAAUCUCCACAUUCCCUCUCAACUUUGAAGAAGAAAAGAGUAAAGAAUAAAAAUACACAUCCACAAACACUAAAGGCCACACGCAUAUGUGAGUGAUACUCAUUUGUGUUCCAUCAUGUAUUAAUUUAGCUUUUAUCCUCUUCCAACCUUUUACUAUUCCAAAUCAAAAGGUUGAUUAUUGCAUUGUCACACAAAACAAUGAUAAUAAAAAUACUCAAUUCAUAUAAUCCUUAGAAUUAAUUCUUUUCAUAACUAUAGUAGAUGUUUGAACAAGUGAGAACAAAAUAUAAGCUUAAUCUUAAUAGUAAUAUCAACGGAUAAUAGCACUGUGUGUCACUUAAUUAUUACCCAUGUCGCACAUAAACUACUUAACUUUCUACAUUGCACAUAAAGCCACUUAACUUUGCUUAUGCUUGCAACAUCCAAAUUUUCAUUCAAUUUAUGGAUAGACUGAUCGAAUUGAUGAGUUCUUAUUCGAGAUCUUCUGUAUGAAUAACCUCCAACACAUUAAAGAGAACAAUAAUUUAUAAGAACUGACAGAAUAACUUAUUACUUGUUUACAGAAAAGAAUGAUAAAAUAAAAAGGCAAGAAUAGAUUAUAAUCAUGCCUUGGACACUGCUUUCGAAAAAAUAUUUCCCGAAUUUAGAACACCAAUACAACUAAAGGUUAAUCACAAUAUUCACUCAAACUCUAGUGUAGGGCUUGAAUGUUGGAACUUGGAAACUUAUGCUAUUUUGAUUCCGAUUUUGAGAGUGAAAACAAAGUUUUCUGCCCAUAUUAAUCAACUAGGAUUUCCCUUUUUAAAGAGAACGCAUCCACUAACCAACAUCAAAUCCAGAUUCUCCUUUCUGAUGAUCAUCAAUGAUAAGCAGAUAUGGGGAAGGUGGAGUUGAGCUCCCGAUUUCUAGGAAGCCAACCAAAUACUUCUGUUAAGCAUAAGUCUUGAGUAUAUGCGGUAUGUAACUGAUCAUUACUGUUACUUCAAGUGGUUAGAUAAUGGUUACAUCAUCUUGCUGUUGUCCGUUGAUGACAUGUUGAUAGCAAGUUCUAUUGUAAAAGAAGUAAACAAGUUGAAGAAACAGUUAUCUAACAGUUUACUAUUAAGAAUAUAGGAGACGCUAAACAGAUUUUGAGUAUGUGCAUUGAUCAUGAUAGGCAAGUAGGAAAGUUUUAUCUUUCGCAAGUUGAAUAUAUCAAGAAAGUCUUGAAGAGGUUCAAAAUGCAGGAUGCAAAACUAGUAAAGAUUCCUUUGGGUGGCUAUUUCAAGCUAUUUGAGAAGGAUAUGCCUAAUAAUGAUCCAGAACGUGCCCAAAUGCACGAAACACCAUACAUUUUUGUAAUUGAUAGCUUGAUGUAUGGAAUGGUGUGCACAAUACCAGAAAUUGCACAUGUAGUGGGAGUUGUCAAUAGAUUCAUGGGAAAUCGGGGGGAAGCGAUUAAGUACUCCUGAGAUAGUUGAAGAUUACUACUAAAAGGGUCUUGGGCUUUGAGGGCAAAGUAAUGUAGUUAGAAGGAUUUGUCAUCAAGUGACCUUGAUAGAAGAAGAUGUACAACAUGGUAUAUUUUUACUCUUUGAGGUACCAUGGUUUCUUGGGCUUUUAAGUUGCACUGUCUAACACUCAAGCUAAAUAUGUUGCGGUAACGAAGGCCAGCAAAGAGAUGGUAUGGUUUUAGAAUUUCUUUGGUGAAUUGGGGAAGAAGAAAGAGGAUAGCAUAUUGUACAUUAGUCUUAUACACUUGCAAAAAAUUCAGCAUUUCAUUCAAAAUCGAAGCUCAUAUUGAGUUGAUGUAUCACUUUAUGGGUUGAUCUCUUGGAAAGGAAGAUCUUACGGCUUAUGAAGAUUCUAGGAAGUGAGAAUCCUAUGGAUAUGCCGACUAAGGUUGUAAAGUUGGAGAAGUUGACACUGUGUAUGACUUUAACUGGUUUUGUAACUGAAGUUGAAGGUCAGAUGCUGCUUGUAGUAGGAAGACGUUGAACAUGGAGAACCAAUGAGAGGAGUAUGUCUUCAGGUGGGAGAUUGUUGGGUUAUGGUGCCUAAGAAACUGAAGGCUUGGUCCAGUUAGUUUGUUUAGUUAGAUAAAAAUUAAGAUUAAUCUUGUCUAUUCUAUAUAGGAUUAGAAUUAAUAUGGUAGCUCCCUAUAAAUAAUCUAUAUUCAUAUCAUUGUAAUCUGUAUCACAACAAUAGUAGUCGAAAUCCUAACUUGGUUUGUAAAAAAAGAAAUUCUAGCGUGGUAGCGCCCUAGACAUACUCUUCUCGUGAAGAGGAACUAGGUUCUUAAUUUUUCAGUUUAUGAUUGCGUUUCAUUUUUUACAGGAACGACCAGAUCCAGCUCAGAAACUUCCUCAAGAUGGCGACGUUGAAGAAGCUCUGUCUCGCUAACGCCUAACAAUGGCUUCUCUAGACUGAUUCAGACUGUCCUCACCGCUGGAAAAGGAGAUUAGAUAGAAAUCCAUCUUUUAUUCCUCUUCAUUGUUUUUAUGACAAUUUCUUCUUUUCUUUUAUAAUAGAGAACUAUUUAUCACUUUUGUUGGACAUUUCUUGUUUGUUUCCCUCAAGAACUAAUAAUUUUGGUCAAUGGGUGACCACUGAUGAUGUUGAUUCUAUAAGCUUUAGUAUUUAGUCAAAUUCUUGAGUUUUUUUCAACUAGAAAAAAAAAGAAGAGAGGUUACAGUUUCAAUUAUUAAGUUUGAAGAAUUAAAGAAAAAAAACUAGACUACAGAUAUGAAAAGGUAAUUCUGAUAAUUUUUAUUGAUGAAUUUUUUUUUUGUAAUGAGUAAGAUAAUUUUUUAGGUUUUAUAAAUGGGUUUUUGGUUAAAAAUCUCAUUUAGAUAGAGUUUUUGAUGGGUAAUUAUGAAAUUUGACAUAAAGGGUACAUGAUUAAAAAGGUGGGAAAGGAAGAUGCGAAAAGAAGGUAAGAAGGAAUCAAUUCAUGGCAAAAAAGAAAAAUAAAUAAGAGGGAAGAAAGAAGACAUAUAUUGAUGGGAGGCGGAGGUGGGAUAGGGAGGUGAGAGAAAGAUGUAACAACAAAGAAGGGUUUAGCGAAAGGUGNNNNNNNNNNNNNNNNNNNNNNNNNNNNNNNNNNNNNNNNNNNNNNNNNNNNNNNNNNNNNNNNNNNNNNNNNNNNNNNNNNNNNNNNNNNNNNNNNNNNNNNNNNNNNNNNNNNNNNNNNNNNNNNNNNNNNNNNNNNNNNNNNNNNNNNNNNNNNNNNNNNNNNNNNNNNNNNNNNNNNNNNNNNNNNNNNNNNNNNNNNNNNNNNNNNNNNNNNNNNNNNNNNNNNNNNNNNNNNNNNNNNNNNNNNNNNNNNNNNNNNNNNNNNNNNNNNNNNNNNNNNNNNNNNNNNNNNNNNNNNNNNNNNNNNNNNNNNNNNNNNNNNNNNNNNNNNNNNNNNNNNNNNNNNNNNNNNNNNNNNNNNNNNNNNNNNNNNNNNNNNNNNNNNNNNNNNNNNNNNNNNNNNNNNNNNNNNNNNNNNNNNNNNNNNNNNNNNNNNNNNNNNNNNNNNNNNNNNNNNNNNNNNNNNNNNNNNNNNNNNNNNNNNNNNNNNNNNNNNNNNNNNNNNNNNNNNNNNNNNNNNNNNNNNNNNNNNNNNNNNNNNNNNNNNNNNNNNNNNNNNNNNNNNNNNNNNNNNNNNNNNNNNNNNNNNNNNNNNNNNNNNNNNNNNNNNNNNNNNNNNNNNNNNNNNNNNNNNNNNNNNNNNNNNNNNNNNNNNNNNNNNNNNNNNNNNNNNNNNNNNNNNNNNNNNNNNNNNNNNNNNNNNNNNNNNNNNNNNNNNNNNNNNNNNNNNNNNNNNNNNNNNNNNNNNNNNNNNNNNNNNNNNNNNNNNNNNNNNNNNNNNNNNNNNNNNNNNNNNNNNNNNNNNNNAUGGGUUUGUGGUUAAAAAUCUCAUUUAGAUAGAGUUUUUGAUGGGUAAUUAUGAAAUUUGACAUAAAGGGUACAUGAUUAAAAAGGUGGGAAAGGAAGAUGCGAAAAGAAGGUAAGAAGGAAUCAAUUCAUGGCAAAAAAGAAAAAUAAAUAAGAGGGAAGAAAGAAGACAUAUAUUGAUGGGAGGCGGAGGUGGGAUAGGGAGGUGAGAGAAAGAUGUAACAACAAAGAAGGGUUUAGCGAAAGGUGAUAUAAACAAAAUUAAUUUUGUAAGAAAAUAUUUUUUUUAAUGCCAUGUCAACUAGUUUGUAACUUUUAGUGUCCAUGUCAACAAACAAAAUUUUAUAAAGUUACCAAAAUUCAAAAUUUGUGUUACGAAAAGUAUUUCUAAUAGAUUGUGCCAUUUUCGGUAAAGGCUUAAUAGGUUGUGCAUUUAAGAAAAAAAAUAUUAUUGUGUUUCUACAAUUAACAUCAAUUAUCACCAAACCAUUAAAUACUAAAAACCAAUUAAGAUAUAGUCAUGUUACAAAAAAUGACUCUUGUUAUGAUUUUUUUGUUUAUGCAAUGAUAGGAUGAGAUUAAAAGGUUAAUUUCUUUUUCGACAAAACUUGUAAAAUAUUAUUAAACUCAAUUAGAUAUAAUAUCAUCUACAGUUGGUCAAUCAAAAAAAUUGAGGGUCUAUCCACCGAAACAAUCGUGGAGUUCCAAUGAGUCUGAUUAUACGCCAUAACAUGGGUAAGCUUGUUAACUUAUCUCCGGCCAUGACGCCAAUUACCACAAUCAAACUUUGCCAAAAGGCAACGAAUUAUGGACUAAAAUCCAUGUUCGGUAUGAUGAUCUUCCACAUGAUGCAAAGUCUCAACCAUGAUCAAGCUAUCACUUUCAAGAACCACAUUAGGAUACCUAUGUUGCAAGGCCAAUUGUUAGCAAAAUCUUGCCUCGACCGCCUCAGUUAAAGUAGGCUCAUAGCAACCCUACAAUUUCAACAUAUCCGCCAUUAAGUAAUGCCGAACGCCAUCCCAGAUAACCACCCCAAUACCCAUUCUGGAUCCUGUAAUGAUAGUUGCGUUUAAGGUAGUGAAACUGGUGAGUCAACAUGGGAUCGAAAAGGGACCUAGAAUCGUAAUCGUAAAAUCAAAUCGCAAAAUCAUAAAAUUUCACGGUUCUUCAAUAAUACUAAAUAUUCAGAAAUUCACCUUAGCAUAAAGACGUAAGUUCAUUAUCCAAUCUAAAAUUAAAAAUAAAAUCUCAAAUUCACCUUAAUAGGUUCUUCAGUUGCACUACUUUGAGCUGAUUUUCGAGUCUAGGAGACCGGAGACAAAAUCUGUGAACAAAAUUGUACAAUCUUACAACAAAAAACAAAAUACCUUCGAACAAAGAACCUAAACACCAAAAAUCCAAAACUAAUCUAACAAAAACAGAAUUAGAGAAAGGAAUGGGAUGAUGAGCAAAAUCAUGGAAUGGGAUGAUGAAGAAUCAUGGAAUCAAGGAAACAGAGAUACCUUCGAGCCGUAGGAGUGGCUGGAGCGAUGGGGACGACCAAAGAGGCUAUGACGAGGACCAUUGACUCCUGGUUCUGGUCUUCUAGACUUCUGGGGGACGACCGACGGGGGAGACGACAAGAGAGAAGACUGAGGAUCGAGCAGAGAUCGAACGAGCAAUCGACGACUUGCACAAUUUUUUUCAGAAGAUAAAUGAAUUUAAGGUUCGAUUUUUUGCCCAAAAUUGAACUCGGAUUUCCGUUUCGGUUCGAACCGAAGCAUAAAAACCAGCGGUCAGCACAGAGUAGUGGACUCGUGAAUCGUUGUAAACUCGUUCGAUUCCACGAUUUUCACGAUUUUGCGAGCGAUUUCAUGCCAUUAUAAGCCAUUUUGAUUGCGCGUGAAAUCUGACUCGACGGACCUAACAAAACUCGUAAAAUCGUCGAUUCCACUUCCUUCGUUGUGUAUGUACUGAUAUGGGGUUCCUGGUUUAGUGGUUGAACCGGGGUUGGACCGUUUUUAAACCGGGUCGGCCAUUUUAAAUAUUACAUAAAGUUAAAUCGGACCGAAAAAAUAUUGGAUUGAACGAAAUCAAACUGACAGUACAAAUAGUCAAAUUUUGAGAUUUAACCUUUGAAAAUUGAACAAUUUUAAAAAAUUUAUGUACAUUAUGAUGUUAUUCUUUUUUAAGUUUAUGUAAUAUAAUGAUAUUAUCUAUAGUUGAAGUCUUCCACACAUAUAUAUCUAGAAUGCUAAAGAAACCCUAAUGGAUCUUUCAAUCUUUCUUUAAUUGGGCUCCAACUACUCAAUACCCUCUCUCACACUUUUUUUCUCUAUAGAGAAACUCUCUCCCUUUUUCAUCAGAUUUUUUUCUCCUUGUAAUCUAAUCUUAUUUUUCUAAUAUUUUCAUUCUAUUUCUUCCCUAUUUGUCUCUUUUACUUUUUUCUUUUUGGAAGGUUAUUAGAAAAAGAGGACCACUAAAUAAUUCCGUCGACGUCCAGCAAUAGGGUUUUCCAAUUUUUUCACAGAUGGAUCCAUGUUUCCAAAGUUCUUUUGUUUUUUUUUCUGAUCUGAUAGUUGGUUCUUUAACUAGUUGAAUUAUCUGGUUUUCCGGGGAAAUCGGGUCAAUCCUCAGUUUUGUUCAUUCUCCUCAACCGCUAACUCAGUAUUGAUCAAAUGAUCGGUUCACAGUCGGACCGGCCGGGCUGAUAUGGUUUUGCUAACAUUGAUCUUAGUAGAGCCGACUAGAGGCCAUUCCAACCGAGCCACAAUGGCCUCAUACGAAAAACUCCUAGUUACCCUGAGUUCUUGAUAAUAAAUAAGAAUUGGAGUGCUUGUGCUAUGAUAUCACACUCCAAUUAGUGAAACUCAUUAAGCAUACACACAUUCCUUUCUUUCCAUCAGAAUCACAUAAGCAUUACCCAUCUUUCCAACUCCAAAUUCAAAACUUUGCGGUUGCUAAGUGAGAACCAAUCGCAUCAGUCAUUAGAAUCAUCAAAAUCAACCAGUGAUCAUGUUUAGAGUUACCUCAAAUCCGCCAAGUCCAUUGGCAAUCUCGGAAAUAGUGAAUUUGCAGGCAACCUGCAAAAUGGGCAUAUAUCACCAUGUCGAGGAUUAUGCUUAUACAUAUUAUACCUGUAGGUAAAAUUUACGAUGAAAUUUUCAUAAGAACUGCUCACCUUCGACGGAAUCUACAAUGACCAAGAACAAUUCCAAACAUCCGAGUUGCAAUUUGGAUUAAGACCCACUAAAAGAAAACCGUGUCCAUUAUUACGGAUAAAACCGGCCGUUGUCACUGAUAUUUCCAUGUCCCUGCCUCGUUGUCGCGGGAAAAUCAUCCGCGACAACGGGCGCCUUCAUAAUGAGGGGUGNNNNNNNNNNNNNNNNNNNNNNNNNNNNNNNNNNNNNNNNNNNNNNNNNNNNNNNNNNNNNNNNNNNNNNNNACGGCCGCCUUCAUAAUGAGGGUUGUGGGGACUAAACUAUCCGCGAAAAAUAGGGUUGGCGCGAACCCGUUAUGACCGGUUUGGUUCAAAUAGUUAGGUUGAAAGGCAUUUUAACAAGUUUAUCCGCAAAAACGGCAAGAGAUAUCCGCGACAAUGGCUAACAACAUUUGUUUUGCCGUCAUAACGGUUCCCCUAACGACGUUGAGUUUAUCCACGGCCAAGGUUGACAUUGUUAGUUUCUCCAUCCUACCCGUAAUGGUUGUUGUGCCAAAUACUAGGCCAUAAUAUCUGCGACAACAGCUCAAGUACUGCCUAAAAUUUUGUUAUUUUUGCUUGUUUCGUCCACUGUGGGCGCCUAAAAUAAAAGUUUAUAUAUGCACUAUUCUACACAUAACACAAUAUAUACCAAUAUCAUUAGCAUAACGAUAACACAUAUGAUCAUCCAAGAGUUAAUACUAUAACAUAAUCCAUAGAUCUACUCCAACAUAAUUCCUUGAUUUUUUACCUAACUAAAGUCAUUAGUUCACUAGACUACAUCACUAUCAACCUAGAUAUAACUACACUAGAGACUCGUCAUCCUCAUCCUCGUCAUUAUGACCAAGAUCCUUAUUAGCUCAAGUAUACAAAAGAAGAUAUAUAAAAUUGAAAUUAGGUUAAAACACAUAAAAUUAAGUAACAUGAACUUUAUAACAUAUAAAGAUUACUAAUAAUUUACCCGCCACAUCGUAGUCGUAGUUCUGUUGGAUGUGGUUAUAUUAUAUUAACCGCUACAAUCGUCGUUACGGAUCAUUAUCCGUGUCCGACGAUGACCUAACCGUGACACCCGUUAUCGCGGAUAUUAUCCCCCAUAACUAAUCUACGUCAGACAUCAAAUUUUGUUGUAGUGGCCAAGCUAUUCUUUAAAGCUAGUCAGCCAGUUUUAAUACCCCUAUUUUUUCGAAUAAACAGCUUUACUACUUGAAAUCCAAAUAAGCAUUCCGAUUCUUGAACAUCGCAAUGAAUAAUUUGCACGAUAGAAGUUGAUAUAGUUGACCAAAAACAGCUUUCAAUAAGAGCAGUAUUCUACUGAUAAGUCGUUCGAUUAACCAACUCACGAACUGUAGCAUCAACAUCAAACCUCAUCGGCGUAGAGGUCACAAAAUUACCGGGUACUAACGGAAGCCAUCCGUCUCCCCAAAUUCUAACGGACAUACAAUUUCCCACCCACCACCCAAGGCCACUCCAUACAAAACAUUGAGCACCAAAAAGGCUAUGCCAUAUAAAGCUAAACCCAACUCAGCUUUAAAGACAUAAUAGAAUUUUUAAAAUACUUAGCUUUCAUAAUUCUUACAAUAAGGGAAGAUGCUCUUGAGUGUAAGUUCCAAAGAUGUUUAGCAAGUAAAGUAAUGUUAAAGCCUAAAAAAUCACAUAAUCCCAUCCUAGCUUCGGAUUUCAAACUCAAUAGAUAUUCUUGACAAAAUGAGGGAUGAGCACUGGGUCGGGUCACCCAUCAAAACCCACCCGCCUAUAAUCACUCUCUACCACUACUACCCUUUUCCCCAUCACCAUAAAACUUUGCAUGCUUGUUUGUGUGUUUUUGUAGUUUUUUUGUGUGUUUUAUGUCGCUUUUCAUCGUUUGAGUAGAGAGAGAGAGGGAGAGAGAGAGGGAGAGAGAGAGAGGGAGAGAGAGUAUUUCAAGGGUUGCAUGUCAUACCAAUGAUUAAGAAUGCAUGAUAGAAGGUCUCGAUUCAAAUUAGGGUUCGGUCGGUGUCUGAUCGAAGGACGAAUGAUGCUUGCAUUAUUUUAUUUUUACUGAAAAAUUGGGCUUCUGGAGCAGCCUUUAGAUCAAUCUCAAGGUGUGUGGCUUUGCAUAGUGUGUGUCGUUUCCUUAAGUUUCUCUCGAUAGAAAAUCGAGUUUAUGGCGUGUGAUCCCACAUGCCAUGUGACUGAUUUUUGACAAAACGAACCGACCAAAGAACAACCAAAAACCCAACCGGCUCAAACCGUAAUGAACCAGAUUGAUUUUCAAACCGAUUUUCAACCAAAUCAAACUGAGUUUGACCAGACGCAUUGACCCUUCGUUGACCGGCCGUUGCCCCCGUUGACCGGUCACCAUGGAAGAAAAAACAUGGCAGUUUAGUAGUAUUUUGGGCAUAACAUUUUGCUCGGGAGUCUGAUUGACACAAGGUCAGUGACGUUGGAAACUUGUUCAGUUGCCUACAACUUUGAUGUCAUGAUGUGGCCUAAAUCCAUGCAGUUUGUGCUCAUUUUUCUUGGUUUGGAUUGAUGGAAUUUGAGAAAGUUUGAAUUGUGGUCUUGUUUGGUUUGAUGAUUUGGUGCGAUCGUGAUCAAUUUCUUGAUAGUAUUAUAGUGAUAUGUUCAUUGCAAAUGCUAACGUUUGGGAUGGUUGUCCAAAAUGGAUAAUUCUAGCUUUGCAAUGUGAAGAUUGCUGGAUGUUGAGACGUGAUCACUUUGUCACUCUUGUAUCGAUGGCAUGUUGUUGAUUUUCAUGAGAACUUGGAAUGGCAUCAUGAUGCUUCAAAGUGUGGUUGAACGUAGGUUGUUACUAGGCCUGAGAGUCGGUUAAUUUGGUUACUAACCAUCUGCUUAAUGUUCGGGGAAAAUGAUUUGGAGAUUAAAGUUGGUUAAUCGGUUUAACUGACCGACCAUAUGUAAUGGUUAAAAAGCCGACCAAUAACUGAUAAAUCGGUUAAAUAACCAAUUAUUAACCAACAGAUUAGUCGGUUAAUCCUAUGAACUGACUUUGAUUGAUUGACCGACUAUACCGACUUAACCUAACAAGAUCUGAAUCUCCAUGCUCAUCUCUGCCAUCGAGUGAGCCACGUUCUGCUCAUGAUAACCGUUCGUCCAAGCAUUCAUACUCUACUAAGAAAGCUUGCCAUGGCCGCCACUCUGAACACCGGUCAAAGAACUGAAUACUUGUUCCAAGAUCCGAACUUCCAGAACCGUCUCCAAUCCAUCUUCCCAAUUGUAGUUUGGACAAAGUUUCCUCAUCUGAAUUUUUACUCAAUCACACAACUACAACCUACACGACAACCAUAAUCAAUAGAGUGGAGGGGGAUAGGAUGAAACAGAGGACUGGUUGAAAUUAUAUGGGCCUAUGUUGCAUCCUCAAUAGCUCGUCGUCGCCAAGCCUCACUGAGCCGUCCCCGAGAGAGGAAGAGACGUAGAGUCUAGAGAUCGUGCUUUACUAGUGCUCAACACUCAUGGAGCCGUCACUGAGAGAGGAACAUAAUCCCUAAUGAAUCGUGAAAUCGAGAAUGAACGGGGAUAAGUGAAUAUGUUUGUGUGUGUGUGAGUUUGACCUAAAAAUGGGGGGAUUGGGAAUACGACGUAGACAUUUGGGUUCAGACUUGGGGUUCUUUUGACCGAUUAAUGUUGGUUAACACAAGUUAACUGACGGGUUUUAACCGAUUCACCGUUUAACUGAAGUCAGUUUUUCUCUUUGACCGUCCCCCAACCAACCUGUAGCUCGAUUAAACCUUCCUCUAACUUAUUCGGUCGGUUAAUCAAUUUUAAACGAUUAACCGAAACUGAAUUCCUACCCUUAGUUGUUACUAGGUGCUUUUGUUGCUCCCAAUUGAUGAUUUGUGAUUAUUUCCAUGCUCAUUUAAUUUGCUUCCAUUGCUCAUAUUUUGUCCUACCAUUACCCUUGAUGACUCAUUGGUUACUCACUGUUUUGGUAAAUGGUUCAAAGAAGCAUGAGGCAUAUUACUAGUCCAUUUGUUCCUGUAAUGAUAUAUCUUUGACCUCACCUUUUGGUAUAACUUGAAUGAUGCAUACGUUGUCACUUCAUGCUUUGCAUACACUCUUUAUGCUCGUUCUUGUUCAUUGGACUUGGUCAACAUUUGUGAGGAUUUCUUUGUGGCAAUUGAUGAUAAAUGAGUUAAGGUGGUCCCAUAGCUUUUGCUUACCCUUGUCUUACUAAUUUAUGAAUUAUAGGAUGCUCUUGUUUAGGAUUGCUAGUUAGUCUUGCUUGAGAAUAACUAGUUAUCUUCUUCAUUGGUUUUGCCUUUCUUUUACAUCUUGCCUAUGCCAUGUCUACUUAUGAGCUAUUUAUUGCCUAUCGUUGCCUAAUUCGAUUGGAUGCUUAUUGAGGUGGUUCCUUAGUGGCCGUAGGAUUAUGGGUUGACACCUCUACAUGCUUGAUGUGUAUGAUUAUUCUCCAUUUCGAAAUUUUCAAUGAUACUUUAAAGUCAAAUUUGAAUGCUCUUUACAAAUGUGUCAAUUUUGGCACAGUUUUCAAGGAUUCAUCAUUUAGUGUUUAUAAUUCAUUUUCGUUUUAAAUUUUCGUUUCCCACAUUUACUUUUCAUGUUUUGUUGCUUUUAUUGUUUUAAAUUUUAUUAUUUUUAUUUUAAUAGGCUUACUUUCCUUGUAUAUCCCCAAUUGUAACUUGGUAUCCGUAUUCUCAACUAAAUCAACAAAUGACACCAAAUAACUUAAAAUUGAGAACUAUAAGAGCUCAAAAGAAGGAGAUUUAGCAGAGUCUCUUAUAGGUUUCAAAAAAGCGAGGAAGGAUCUUCAAGUGGAGAGGACCCUUUCUCCUCCCUAACUCCAAUGGCGAACAAAACUCUAGCAUUAGACCACCUAAAGUCAGACGAUAAGCCAUGCAUUCAUCUCGUGGACUUUAUCUUCUAUUGCGACACCAUCAAGCUACACGGUGUUUCUGUUGAGGUUCACAUCGUGUUCCCCUUGAGUUUCAGCAACCAUCCACUCCAAGCACCUUAAAUCAUCCGUCUUAGUUUCUGCUUGUCCCCAAACACCGUACAUCGCAUGUACUUCGUGAUUUUUCCAUUCUUUGAGGCAUUUAGCUCCUCCUUGUACAUCAUACAGUUAUGAAUAAUGCCUCGACGUUGUUGUGUGCCUGAAAUUGAUAAAAAACACAACGCAACAACAUCAAAUGGACCCCAAACGGGUAUGAGACACUAAAUCGAGAUAGAAGUUACAAAUGCACAAAACAUCAUGUCGUGAAUGUUUCGAUCCGCGACACCGAUGGCUUGAAAUAUUUCAGAGUCGCCACCAAUCUGUUGAAGCGGAUUGGACGCUGUCGACAUAACCCAGGUCCUUUUGGACGUGAGUUAGAACAGGUCUGCGGAACAGAGAUCCUGGAUUCGAGAGGCGGUUACGUGCAGGGAAGGAUUAGCACCCCCAUAGCGCCCGUCAAACCGGUACUACUAAAUUUGAUAAGUUAUGUUUUAUUUUCUUAGUUUAGUGGUUUAAUUAUGCUUUAGUUUGGACGCAUAAGGUUAUGUAAAUUUUUUAGAGAAUAUUUUUAUUCAAUUGUAAGUCUUUAUGAGUUCCCACUCUUGUGGAAAUUUUUUUUUAUGUUGAUAAAUAUUUUGAGUUGAACAUUCUUAAUUUAAUUGUUUGGAUUUACGAAUUCCCAUUCUUGUGGAAAUUUUGUUUUACGCUGGUGAAUAUUUUUAAGUUGGUUAUUUUUAAUUUAUAUGUUUGGACUCAAGUCUUACGACUGCCUACGUACCUAAUUCUUUGGGAUCAAAGAUCAUGUAGUUCGUUAUGGAAAAGUUGAUUUGAGGAUUUUUUGUAAUUUUUACUAUUAUAAAAACCACGUUAUCAUGCUCAUUUUUUAUUUGAAAGACAUUUAUUUGGUUAUUUCAAAGUUGGAACUUUAUUUGCCCACUUAUGAUUAAAUGAUAAUUCUACAAAAUUCGAAACUCUUGUCACGGAUACGAAAUUCAUAUAACAUUGCUAUAAUAUCUUUAAAGGAUUAUUAUUAAGGAAAUUUCACAUUUUUUGCCAAUCGAAAAAUUAAUUGGUUUAUAUCAGUUAACUUAAUUUGACAUAAUUAAAAAUGCAUUACAAGACGGUUAACGAACUUACAUUUAAAUAAAUAUGUCACAAGUAUUUUUGGUGAUUUGACAAUUCUAUUGUGGUUAUGUUAAUGUUAAUUAAAAUGAUACGUUGAUUUGAAUAAUUGUAAAGUUUUGAGUUUUUAAGUUUACAACUUUAAGGUAUAAAUAUCAAAUAGGAUUAAAGAAGGUAUGACGUUUAUUCUGUUAUUCUUCCACACUUAUUUCACUUUUAUUCCACUCUUAAUAUGGCCUUAAUGAUAUAUGAAUAUAAUUGAAUCGACUAAAGGCUUGGCCUUUCUAAAUUAAUUGUGCCCAAGCUCGAGCUCGGCCCAACCGAACGAUGAGCCGAACCGGCGGGUAAGAGGAGGGCAGCCCGCGUGCCAAACUGGUCGAACCGGUUAUCCACGGUUCGAUCAGAAAACUCAAAAAGAUGAAAUUGCCCCUAGCGUUCCGUGCGCUGAAGAAGGGUGGCAGGGGAAAUUUUGUAACUUCACCUUAAACCUAAUCGGCCUUAUAAAAGGGCCUCUUAAAUCGAGAAAUGACUCAUUUGCAACUUCCCACUCUCUCUUUAUCAUCCCUCUUUCUAAACCGCCGCCCUUCUCCCCCCCCCCCCCCCCCCCCCCCCCACCCACCUUUAUCACGGAGUGUGCUGUUUUUUUCUAGUUCCUUUCUCUUCUUCUCAGCCGCCCUUUUUUGCCUCCUCUUACCUCUCAGGACCCCUCUUUCUACCUCCGUUUUUUCGAUUUUUCCAGAUUUGGACUUGCAUGUCAUCGGAGGAUACUCCGGUGAGUCCUCCGGCAAAAUGCAAGUCUCGAUCUGUAGAUCUAAUGUUUUAUUUUGGUAUUAAACAAUUUUGGUUAUUUGAGGGUGGUACCGACGGGGGUGGCGGGGAGGUAGAGAAAUGGAAAAAAGAGAAAGUUAGGUAAGUAAGAUUUCUUCCCUAUUCCUUUUGAUUAAUGUCUGGUUAAUUGCUAACGAAGCUAACUACCGGUUUCUUUGAUGACUUUUUUUAUGUCUUUGAAAAUGGGCAUAGUCGACAUGUUUUGGAAAAUGAGAGGAAAAGGAGAAGAUUGCUUUUAGGAGGUAAGACAGCUAAUUUUGAACCCAUUCUAAUUUUUCUAGGUAGAAGUAACAAUUCUAUUUGUUGAUAAGUUGCAUAAGAAACUAGGUUUGUUUUGUUACUGAAGUUGUAGUAGUAGUCUAGGUGUUUUAAAAAGUUUUGUUUGAAAAACUUUAUUUUUUUUACUAUUGUUUAAAUUUUUUUAGCAACAUUGUUUAUUCCAAAAAUCCGUAUUUUAACUCGAUUUUACUAUGAGUUUCAUAGUUCUUUAGGUCUUUGGUGCGAAAAUGAUGAAAGAUGGCUAUAGGUUUCGUUGUUAAUACUUUCCAAUAACUUUUAGUUCAUUUUUGAAGCUUAUUUGAUUGAUUUGUUGGUUGUUUAUUAAAAUGAAUCAUUUAUUUGAUUAGUUGCAACGAAUCAUUGGGUUCAAUAGUAGUUUAGAAGGUUGCUAAGUGAUAUAGCAUAACAAUGUAUAUGUAUGAAUGAUGUGUGAAUGCUUCAGAAUAGGGAUGUUUUGAAUGAUUACCUUCAUUCAAAAUUUCUCUUUUAUCGUAUUUCAGGUGGCGGCGCCUAUCGUGAGUGACGUCAAACCGAUUUGGCGGCUUCUAUGUGUAUGGCGACAAAAGAUGUUGUAAAACUUAUUUUUUUACAGUUUUGUAAUUAUUUCCCGGGACUUUGAACGAGUGAUGUUGGUGUAUUAUUUUUGGGGGUUUUGGGAAGAACUGGGGGACGAAUUUUGAAAACUGUAAGCUCCUCUUUUUGCUGAUUUUUGUCAGUCCAUUUAAAUGCAGAAAGGGCUACAGUCACUUCUUUUAACCAACCACAUCUUGCAAAGUUUUCUGACAAAAAUAAAAGGUGGCAGCUCCCCAAAUAAUAACCGUAACGGGCCCGAUAUUGGGCUUGAAAUAAGGCCUGGAAUCGGGCCCGAAAUCAAAUUGGGUCUAACACAUAAAUAGUUUCGAGAUAAGGGAUUUUGCCGAAUUUCGAGAUAGCGGACUUGAGGUCCACUCAUUUCGGCCGUUUCCGUUUAAAAAGAUCUAAAACAAAAUCGGCUUAGAACAGUCUGUAACAUAAUAAUUACAUCUCGAAAAUAUGCUAUUUGGCUACCAAGUUCUCCCCUAACGUGCACUUUGAUUAAUUUAACUGAAUAAACUUCGCAACAAGUAAAAUCUCGACGCUAAAUCCUUCCUAGAGAUGCUACGACUAUUUAGUGAAAUGACACUGGCGUGCAUUCUUCACUCGAACGAAAUUUGGUUACUACAGUUGUCCCUCUUUGUAUUACUUUCGCUUGGAAGUGGAAAGUGGUACAAAGACAGAAACCAAAUUUCGGACGAGCGCCUGAACUUCUCACGUCAAGUCCACUAGGGUCCAAGGAUCUGCCACAACAUCGGGUAGAAAACAAAAUUUGCAACCUGACCACACAAACAACAUGCAAUGCAUUUCCCUAUGGGUGUUAGGGUGAAUGUACUAGGGACUCAGCUUGACUUAUCUCCCGUUCCAUGGGUUGACUAUACUAGGGACUCAACUCGACUUAUCUCCUGUUCCAAGGUGCAAUCCGCUUUCCCCAGGAUGCUAAGGGUUGAUGUACUAGGGAUUCGACUAGACUUAUUUCCCGUUCCAACGUGCGAUCCGUUUGCCUUAGGACGCUAAGGGUUGAUGUACUAGGGAUUCAGCUUGCUUAGUUCCCGUUCCAUGACUACAAAUGUGUUGAUGAUGAAUGGUUUCGAAAGAGUUUGAGUAAGGCUCCCCCUUUUUGAAAAAAACAUGCAUCUGAUGGCAAUGCUUGAUUGAUAUUUUUCAUCAUUUUCACUCCGACGAGAUUCACUGUUUUGUUUUCUUGUCGCUUAGUUCGCACUACGUGCUAGCGCAAUGGUGUCAACCCUGCUGAUAGCUGGGUAACCUUUAAUGUAUGUGCCCAUUUUUCUUUGUUUUUCCCCCGACGUCUUCAUAUUAUUCCCAUGCCUUGGGAUUUUAAGGAUCUCUUUCCUACUUUGUCUCUACUUCUAGAUAUAAUGGUAAGAUAACGACGACCUUUGUAAAUUUCUUUCUUCGGUUAGGAAUAAGUGGAGAAAUCCUGCCAUCCGGGCUUCUUUUCUUUAACCCUUCCCUUUUACUAAUUUUUUCAUUCUUUCAACGGUUUUCAUUAUUAUUACUAUUAUUUUUCUCCCUUUUGUCUUCACUUUACCGCUAAUUUCAUUUGAAAAGACCUCCUAAUGAUUAAUUAGAGCGAAGGUGUUUGCACGAACGCAUUUGCCUCAAGUUCCUGUGGGGUGUUGUACCUCAUCCAUUUUGUUUGGUGAUGCGUGAACAAUGGUUAGGAGAGUAGUAUUUGAGAAUUCAUGAAGUAUCCAAAACUUAAAGUUGACUUAAAUUAUCACUUUAUUGAUGGAAAACCGAUCACGUAGAUCUCCGUCAGGAACUUUAAGCAUAGUACUUGUUUACUGAAUAAGAGUUAAAUAGGUAAGGGAGCUUGUCUCCGUCCAUGUUUGCCAGUAUUAAUGCCCCCCUGAGAAAGCCCUUUCCCCUACAUAGGGCCCUUCAUAGUUCGGCUUCCACAUUCCUCUUGGGUCCCCUUGUCAAAUGGAAAUCUUCUUCGUUACCAACUCUCCUUCGCGAAAUUCCCGUGUUUCACUUUUUUUUAAAAGAUCUGAUAAAUCUGCACUGAUACAGGCGUUAGUGGUGGAUAGCUGCCAACCUUUUCUCAUCAAUUUAAUUUAACUGGUCGUAUGCCGCUUUUACCUACUCAACUUGUUCUAACUUCGCCUCCAUGAUAACCCUUAGUGAAGGCAUUUCUACGUCCAUGGGAAGCACUGCCUCCAUCCCAUAGACCAAUUGGUAAGACGUCGAUCCCGUUUAGGUUCUUACUGAUGUUCAGUAACCGUGCUGGGUAAAUGGUAGAAUUACGUGCCAAUCGCGGUCGGUAACGACCAUUUUCUGUAUGCUUUUCUUGAGGUUUAUUGUUUGUCAGCUCGACCGCUCCGUUCAUCUUUGGUCGGUAUGGUACCGAGUUGUGGUGCUUAAUCUUAAACUUGUUGCAAAGCUCAUGCAUCAUCUUGUUGUUGAGAUUUUUCGCAUUGUCGAUUAUUAUUCUUUCCAGGAGCCCAUACUAGCAAAUGAUUUCCUUUUGUAUGAACUUUUUGACAACGCUCUUGGUAGUGUUUGCAUAUGACACAACCUCGACCCAUUUCGUGAAAUAGUCGAUGGCUACUAGGAUGAAACGGUGCCCAUUAGAUGCUUUUGGUUCAAUCAUGCCUAUGACCUCAUGAUGCAAAAGGCCAAGGCGAUGCCAUAAUGUGCAACGAUGAUGGAGACACGUAUUUCUCACCGGCAUAAACCUGGCACUUAUGGCAUUUUCUCACGUGUUUUACAUAGUCAGAGUUCAUCUUCGUCCAAUAGUAACCCAUCCUUAAUAUCUUCUUAGCUAGCGCAUGACCACCGACAUGUGUGCCGCAGACUCCCUCAUGGACUUCUUUUAUUGUUCUCUGAGAUUCAGGGGCAGCUACACAUCUUUGCAGCACAAAAUCAUGGCUUAGUCUGUAGAGGGUAGUCCUAUGAACAUAGUAACCCAUCUCCAAUCUCCGUAGAGUCCUUUUAUCAUUUUCAGAUGCCCUAGCUGCGUACUCCCUUUUAUGUAGGUAGGUCUUUAUGUGAUGGUGCCAGGGAUUCCUCAUGCUCUUUUUGGACUCUACCUAGGUAGGCAGGUGCAUUUUUCUUUUUGAUUUUGCUUCAUGGGUUAACCUCGGUCUCGUCCAGUUUGUACAUCGAGGACAAUGUGGCGAGAGCAUCCGCUAUUUGAUUGUCGACUCGCGAGAUGUGCUCAAACUGUAUCGACUCAAAUUUUGCGGCCAUUUCCCCUAUGUAUUUAUGGAAUGGGACAAGCUUAUGACCCCUAGUUUCCCAUUUUCCUUCAACUUGUAUAUUACUAGCGCUGAAUUACCAUAUGCCUUCAAAUUCUUAAUAACCAUUUCGAGGGCUCCUCGGAUCCUGAAAGUGCACGAUUGGCACUCUGUUAUGUUGUUGGUGCAAUCGAAGCAAAUUUUGGCAGUAAUAGGGCACACCCUCCCUUCAGAAGAGACAGAAACGACGCCGACGCCCUGUCCCAAUGAGUUUGAGGCCCCGUCAAACUUCAUCACCAAUGUUUUUUGGACGAAGCCUUCCACUAAUUUCUCAGUGUUCAGUAUAGUUUCAUCCGGAAAUUCCAUUAACAUCGGAUUCGUGUCCGAGAUUGCAUGCUCCGCUAGAUGUUCUGCCACUACACUCCCUUCAAUGGCCUUCCUUCGGAUAUAAACGAUGACGUAUUCUGCCAGCAGCACUUGCCAUUAGCCUAUCCAUCUGGAGAGGGCCAACUUUUCGUGGACAUCCUUGAUAGGGUUCAUUUUUUAUAUUAGGAGCUUCGUGUGAUAUAACAUGUACUAUCUCAGCCUUAUGGCUACCCAUACAAGUGCUCCGCAAGUUUUCUCGAGCGAUGUAUAUCGAGAUUCGUAGUCAUGAACUUCUUGCUGGUGUAAUAUAUUGGCGCGCUCUUUCCUUCCCGAUUCAACAUGUUGGGCCAACAUCGCGCUUACCAAAUUUUCAAAUACCGUGAAGUACAAUAUUAGUGACCUUCUAGAAGUUGGUGGGGCCAGAACCGGAGGGUUUAAUAAACACCCUUUGACUUUCCGAAAGGCAUGAUGACAACCUUCAUCCCACUCGACAUUCCGGUUCUUCUUUAAAAGCUUGAGAAUGGGUUCACACGUUAAGCUCAAAUGCGAUAUGAACCGACUAAUGUAGUUCAAGCGUCCUAAGAAUCCUAGCACCUCUUUAUGCAUUUAGGGAGGAGGUAUGUCAACCAUUGCCUUCACUUUGUCAGGGUCCACUUCAAUCCCCUUUUGGCUAACCACGAAACCGAGCAGCUUCUCCGAGGUGACUCCGAACGUACACUUUUCUGGGUUCAGCCAGAGCUGGUACUUCCCGAGUCGCUCGAGCAAUUUUCAUAGCACAGUUACGUAGUCGUCUUCCUUUUAUAACUUUGCUAUAAUGCCAUCCAGAUAUACCUAUAUUUCUUUGUGUAUCAUGUCAUGAAACAGUGUGACCAUGGCCCGCUGGUAAGUUGCCCUAGCGUUCUUCAGCCCAAAAGACAUAACUUUAUAGCAAAAGGUUCCCCAUAAAGUGAUGAUGGUCUUUUUUUCUCGAUCAUCCGAAACAUCCUGAUAUGGUUGUAUCUUGAGAAACUGUCCAUGAAAGAGAACAUAUUAGUUGACGGUAUUAUCAACGAGGACAUUUAUGCGAGGCAAAUGGAAGUUGUCCUUUGGGCUUGCCCUAUUUAAAUCUCUGUAGUCUACGCACAUUCUCAUUUUUCCAUUCUUCUUAGGCAUAGGGACCAUAUUAGAGAUCCAAUCGGUGUAUUACGCCACCUGUAAGAACCCGAUUUCGUAUUGUUUCUGCACUUCUUCCUUAAGUUUGAGUAUCCAUUCCGGUUUCAUCCGCCAUAACUUUUGCUUUACUGGCUUGCACUCCUCCUUUAUUGGCAAGUGAUGUGUUACUAUUGUUCAUCGAGGCCCAACAUAUCUUGAUAAGACCUUGCGAAAACGUCCUAGAAGUUCUGGAGUAGUUUGACGAGCCUGUUCUUUUCUGCUUGGUCUAAACUGUCCCCUACCUUAACCUGUCGCCGAUUGUCCUCUGUUCCCAAAUUCACGACCUCUACUGACUCGUAGAAAGGUUUCAAGGAUCGCUCUUCUUAUCCUGCCAUCCAAUCUGUUUCUAGGUUAGAACCAUCACUGGCUUCCUCGGUUUCCAUCUCAUAAACUGGGUGGUGAAAGUCAACUUUAGUGUUUCGUACCUCUUCAUUGUUUUCAAACACAUCUGUAACCCUGUUACGUGACGGGAAAUAGAAAAGGGAAAAAGAAGAAAAGCGGAAGUGAAUAAUAUAGACGAUGCACGGAUUGAGACUUAUGAAAACAUGCUUUAUCAAACAUGUGAAAAUGUGAUACAUGCAUUCAGGAUCACUUAAAAAACACUAGGAAGCCCUUGCUUAUUUUAUUUAGUAGUCAUAUUUUAGAGUUAUUACAUCUGCAAUGGCGAAAGUAACUCCAAAGCCUCCCAAUUGCUUAGCUCUUCCUUUGGACGGAGCUGCCGCACCCAUUUUAUUCCGGUCAUAAUUCCCGUACCCAGCAUGCUGAUGAAGAGAUCUGCAAAAUCCGACUGUAACUCUUUGGUGGUCGGAUCAGUGUAGUUUUUCCUCACAUUUAUCUUUCCAGCAUUCUUGCUUGUGAUGUGAGGUAUGAAAGUCAGGCCUUCAUCAUCUUCUGUCCCACUUAACCUGGACACCCUCCUCCUUAUCCGUUCCUUUUGGAUCCUCCUUAUAUCAUCAUCGUUUAGAAUGUAUCGCAAUCCCGCACGGUUCUUAUUUUCUUUGACCUGGAUGGGUUCUUUCAGCACCUCCUGCCAUUAGUAUCAUAGAUUCCAUACUCGAUAUUAAUCUAACCGAUGUCUCGAGACUAAUUAGAGUUAAUUACCAAGUGCAUUAAUAUAGUACAAUGAUUAAUCUGAAAAUUAAUUCCAAAGCGGAUCGACAUUCCGCCCCUCUCUCAAGUGUAGCGGAGACGACGAUAGACCUUGGCGUUUGGGGAUUUAGUCUCACUUUCGUAUCUAAACCAAAUCCCAACAAUAAUCUUACAACUGGAAUUCGACAAUUACAAAAUAAAGCAGUAGCUAUAUGCAAGAGAAAGACAAUAACGAAAUUAAUGAUAGUUCCGCUUAACACAAUCGAAAUUAUGUCGUAUUAACACAUAAUCAAGGUUUCAUCAAUUUCGGACAGACAGCUUAGUUACACAUGGUGAUCAAAUUAAAAACACAGAAAUCAAGAUAAUACAUGAACCUGGAGCUCCAUGCUUCAUGAACGCUCUGCCGUCGUAAAAUUCAGCAAUGUAGGCGGUCCGAACGGAAGUUCCGAAAUGGAUUUCUUCACCUUCGGAGCUCGAAAUUGCAUGCGGUUUGAAGUGGCAUGUUCCUGGGUUGAAGAAGGACGUCUUGGGGCAGAGUAGGAAGGCUUGCGGGUCUGAUAUGGUGUGUGUAUGGUGUGAUUUCGAAGUGGACAUGACUUGCCCUUAUAUAGGCUCGAAAAAUGGCGUAUUAAGGCCUCCGACAUGGGCAUACCAACUCCAUCAUCUGUAUGCAAGCUGUAGCUGUCCCUGGACUGAUGAUGGACGGAUCUACAUGUGCUGGACGUCCUCAACCAUGCCCGGUUAUCCUUCCGGCGAUCGGUUGAGCGGUGGAUUGUAAAACGGGUCGUAACUUCUUCGUUGCAAAUCUGAUUUAGCUCCGGUUUGUAUCGUUGGAUUUUUAAUUCAUCCCUUUAUAAUACGUGACCUGAAAUUUUAUUAAACACACUAGAAGAAAUAUAAAAUUGGACCAUAAAGGUCCAAGGGUUGAAUUUACGGAAUUAAGUGCAAUAUAACUGAUAUCCGUCGAAACUUUUGUUUGCAAUUGAUAUUAUGACUUGAAGUGUAGAAAGUUUAGUGCCAAAUAUUACGGUAUGUUAUGAUGUGAUCAAAAUACCCCACACUUAAACUUUUCUUGUCGUCAAGAAAACUGUAACUUAACCCACACGAAAUACCAAAGAUAGUUACCAUCAUUUAUACAAGGUUUAGGAAAUGUAAUUUUACAAUUUACGAUGCAACAGAGGUUAAAUGCUUGGCCACAUCGGUGAGAUAAAUCUCUAGUUAGAAAUUCACGAGACAGUGCACACCAGAUUAAUCAAGAUUCAAAUGCUAAAAAUAAAAGGGUUAAAUGCAUUUGUUGCAACUAUAAGAUUCAUUUUGCGCUUCCUUACGAAAUUAUGAAAUUUUAUUUCUUUUUUAAAGUUUCAAAAUUUUGAAUAACCCGUAGCCGAGCAAGACUAGUGAGUACUAUACUCAACCUUUUAACACAUUUCAUUCUUCCCACACACACCUCAAUUAAGUCCCGUAUGGGAGGCAUCUAAACUGGCUGCCUAAUUGGCAGGGCAGCUAAUGCAGAGGUGCUAGUCCUCUACCACACGCGUUAAGUUAAUCAUUGAAUUAUUGAGACAAAUUAAAGAAGCAUUUUGAUUUAAACAUUUUUUUAUGGCGAAAGUUGAAUCCAGUUUUGAAUUUGCAGAUUUAAACCAAACAUUUUAAGCAUUUGCAUCAAUUAAUCCGAGAUGUACUAAAUACAAAAAUGAAAGUCUAGUAAAAACAAGUGGUCAUUCCGCAACAACUACCAUGUCACCCAUAAUCGUUACAUUCCCAUUGUCUAUUUUAAUGUGAUCCCUAAAUUGGUAGAUGUGUAACCGCUAGUACUGUUUGUGAGGAGAUUAAAGUAAAGUACGGAUGAAAUGUUGAAAAAAAUUUAAAACACCUCUCGUUACACCAUCACCCAACACUUGAAUUAUACAUUGCCCUCAAUGGACUAUGAAUCUGGGAUAAGAGGGAAACAAGUAUACCGAGAUAUCGAGAAUGACAAUGCCAAAGUAAACUGCUCUAUAAUACCUGUCUGUCGGAUGAUAACGGUAACACAGUGAUAACAAAACAAAACAAAACUCAAAACACAUUUGGCAAAUGCCACAACUAAAAAUCAUACUAAAUCACACCACACAAUGAUGCAGAUCCAAGAUAAAUAUAUUCGAAAAUGUUAAUAUUUUGAAAUACAUCAAAAAGAAGAAGAGAAAAAUACACAUCCUAGAUCGAAAAAUCAAUCAUAACUAUCGGAUCAUAUUCAAAAUUUUGGGCAGAGUCAAGAUGAUUUUAAGGGUCUUGGAUGAUUUUAUUGAAUGAAAUAAGAAACUUGGGUUGUCUCCCGAGGACCACUUUUUUAUCGUCUUUAAGUUAGAAGUUUCCAAGAAAAUUAUUUAAUUAGCCAGGUGAAACACCUCAUGGAUGGUGAGAGAGUCGCUCGCAAGGUAGAGUUUCAACCGAUGACCAAUAACUUUAAACAUACCAUGAUCAGGGCUCGAGAUUUCAACAAUUUCGUAAGGAAGAACUUCAGUCACUGUGAAUGGGCCCAACCAAUGGGAUUUAAUUUUCAUGGAAAGAGGCGAAUCCUAGAAUUAUAUAGGACUAUGUCUCCCGGACGAAAGUGUUUUCCAGGUUUUAACCUUGCGUCAUGAAGACGCUUUGUCUGUUGCUUAUACAAAUUGCCAUUUUAAUAGGCAUGAAGAUGGAAUUCCUCCAGUUCAUGUAUGUGGAACUGAUGGCGAGGUCCAGCGACACUCAUAACAAGGUUUAGAGAUUUAAAGGCCCAUAAUGCCUUAUUCUCUAACUCAACAAGCAGAUGUCAUGCCUUUUCGUAGAAGAGACGGUAAGGGGUAGUGCCGAUAAGAGUUUUAAAAGUGAUAUGCCCAAAGUGCAUCGUCCAACUUUUUUUACCAAUCCUUGCGAGUCCAGGUGACAGUUUUCUCCAAAAUCUACUUAAGUUCUCGGUUCGUUACUUUCGCUUGACCACUAUUAUGUAGGUAGUAACCAGUGGACAGACGAUGAGUGAAACCAAAGCGGCGACACACAUGAUCAAACUGUCCCUGACAGCGGGUUCCUCGAUCGCUGAUGAUAGUGCGAGGUGCUCCAAACCGAGUGAAAAGUAGUUGCACAACUGGCUUAUAAGCUAGCCUCUUCCAUAAGAACUUUGUGGGUAAAAAAAGAGGGAGAGAUGCUUCGAAUAUCAUAGAUUUUCCAAGAAAUGGCCUUAAUAUGCUCUUUUAAAAGGGUGAUGAGACGUCCCUUUUAUUCCGGAAUGAGGGAGGCAAUGAUACUGACUAGAAGCUUCGAGUAAUCCAUCAGAAAAGCAUACUUGAGGUGCUCCGGUAGUGCUUUCAUCUUCAAUAUUGGAGGCUCCUCAUAUGAGGGUUUGACGGGCUCAAUCCUUGAGAGCUUGACAGGAGGUUCAGGAGCAGAGUCUUAGCAAUCUGCUCAAGUUGUUGUACCUCAUCAGAAGCAUCCCAAACACCAAAAUAAAAGGCACAACUCGAGAGGGUCUUAGCAAAUGCCCUCAGAUAAGAAGAAUACUGAUCCAACCUCAAUGGAGUCAGCAGGAUAGUUUCAGUCAUCCUGGACAUGGGCAUAUUUCAUCCUGUCAGCAUGGCGAAAUGUGGCCUUUCCUUGACCUACUUGAAGAGUAAGCUCGCCUUCAUGGACAUCAAUGAUGGUGCGAGCCGUAUUUAAGAAUGGGUGGCCAAGAAUGAGGGAGGCAUCUGAUUCAUUGGUGUCAAUGAUAACAAAGUCCACCGAAAAGACAUAAGGUCCCAUCUGCAUAAGUACAUCUCUCAGGAUUCCACGACAAAUUCGAGUGGACUUGUUAGCCAACAGGAUGGUCAAUUGAGUCGGUGUUGGUUCUCCUAAAUCGAGCUGUUGGGAUAUCUUGCAUGGCAUUAGAUUGAUACUUACCCCAGAGUCAGCCAAAGUCUUAUCCAUGCAGGUGUUGGUGAUAUAGUAACAUAAGGUGAAAGAAUCGUGAUCCUUAUGUUUCUUAGGUAGCUGGUUCAGAAUGGCAGCAUAACAUUCAACAUCAAGAGUAACAGACUGAAUCUCAUCCAAUUUUCUCUUAUUGGUCAGAAUCUCCUUUAGAAAUUUCGAGUACUAGGGCAUUUUGGUAAUUUCCUCAAUAAACAGGAUAAUGCCAUUUGCCGUAAUCAUAAGUUCAAUGAACCUUUUGUAACUGGCACCCAUCAUAUCACUCCUUAGACGAGAAGGAUAAGGAGGUUUUGGUUUGUAGGGUGGUAACUCUGGCUUAGGGGGAGAUGGUUACAGUAGCCUUUGGAUAGGUGGCCGAGGUGGCUUUCUCAUCCUUCUUCUCGACGCUAAAGUCAAUGAUCAGCGUUGGAGGAAUGAUGACAGGUGUGGACUAUGGAAUGGGAGGAUCCUUACUGGUGGUUCCACUCUUGAGGGUGACACCUUCACAAGAUUCCGAAGUGUCAAAUCCUUCAUUAGUAACAAAGAUUGCUUUUGAUUCUUCUUGCAUAGAAUUGUUUUCUGUGUUGCUAGGGAGAGAGCCUUGUGGUCUCUCACUAAGAAUUUUGGAAAGAUUUUUCAAUUUCAAUUCAAUGUUAUGGAAAGUGGUUUGUUGCCCACGGAUAAUCUUUUCCAACCUCUCGAGUCUGGAAACUUCAUCAGACUUGGAUGUAGAAGAGGCUUGAAUAGGCGGUUAUUCAGGCUUUUGCCCAAAACCAGGAGGUCAUUGGUUAUUAGUAUAGUUCCUCGAUUGAUAGCCUUGAUUAAGACGAGAGGCAGAGUUUCCUUGGUUGAAGGUUGAUCUGUAAUAGGCAUGUUCAUCUAAUUUGUGAAUGUUUUGCUGUUGUGACGGUCCUGAGCAUUGGGUAUCAUGGUUGGUUUGGUAAGAGUUUUGGAAAGACUUGGAUUUAACUUGAUUUCAAAAGUUUGAGUUUUAAUUUUGACCAAAAAUUUAUCAAUCUUGUGGGUAACCACCACCCAAAAAGUCAACUUCUUCUGUCUGGUUAAAAACGGUAUCCCCAGAGUAACAGUCAGUAGAAUCACAUCCUUGAUCCCCUCAAGCAACAUAGACAAAGAUUAUUGCCGUCGAAUUCUAUAGGGUCCUGACGUUCAGCUUGCUCACUUUUUGAGAAAGCGCAUGCAGCUGAGAGAGAACGGGAGAAAUAACCGUCCCAAGGGUUUCAUGACGAAUCACAAAGGAUGAAGUGGUAGGCGGGGUGCUAUGAUGCUUCCCAUGUUGCCUAGUCAAAGUAUGACUACACAUAUCACAUCCAGCAGCCAGGUUGAUCAUUUGUGUGCUUUCCCGAUUGAGCCUUCAAUUGAAAAUAUCGGCUUGGUUUCGGUCAUCGAAGCUGUGAUGAGCGCAAGAGCGGAGGAGGGCUUGGAAUCGAUUGCAUGCUUCAUAUAAUUGUUCAUUAUCUCAUUGCAUGCAAUGGAUAAUUCUCUCUUUUAUCUCACCGCGCUUCUAUGGAGGAAAAAAUACCUUGAGAAAGGCUUUAGCGGGACCGUCCCACAUGGUAAAACUCCCUACUGGUUGAGAAACAAGCCAGAUUUUUGCAGCUCCCUUGAGAGAGAAAGGGAAACGCUAGAGGCGAAUGGCAUCAUGGUGCACCUGUUGGAGUUGUAAGGUGUCGCAUAUUUUGAGUAAGUAUUUGAUAUGUUGGGUGGAGUUAUCGUCCUCUUUCCCCAAGAAUUGGACUGUUUGUUGGACCAUGUAGAUCAUAGCGGGUCGCAAUUAAAAAUUGUUGUCUUCGACGUGGGGUCGGGCGAUGGAGGACCCCAGGUUCUAGAGACUUGGUUUGGCAUAAUCGCCAAGUGUCUUCUCUUCAGCCAUGGUGAAGGAUCCUUUGGGGGAAAUGCUUACGUGAUCUUCGCCAGAGUACUCAUCCUUGGAAUCCGUUCUACCGAGAGCCGGAGGUGCAAUUGUAAUUCCUUCAAGGACAUGUUUAGAAAAUUACCAAGUAAUCCGUCGAGUCAUUCAUUUGACCGAAUAGGAGUUUGGAAGAUGGGAGGAGAGAGGGAAGCAGAAUGAAUGAAUUCGUUGAGUUUUAGGUUUUGGAGGUUUGAAGAAGAAGUUUCGAGAGAGUGUUAAAGAAGGUGAGUGGGAAGAUUAUGGAGUACUUUACUUAGAAACGCCGCCUUGUUGCCAAAACCAAAACUUUCAUUUCAGUUCCAAGGAAAGUAGGGGAGUCACUCAGACUACUUAAAUCCCUUUAAACUUUAGGUAGCAUCUCUUUACGAAAGCCAAAAUAAUCCUCUCAUCUUUUUUAAUUCUCCUUUCUUAUGAUUUUAAAUUUUUUCUAUUUUUCUAUUUUUAGUGUUUAAAUUCAUAUAAAUGAUUGGUAGCAGAUUUUUUUAUUUUUUAAUUAUUUAUUUGGAUUUUUUUGUGGAAUAGGAAAGAUUCGGAGAUGAGUGGAAGAUAUGGAAAAGAUUGAGAGUUCAGUUGAGCAAGAUAAAAUAUUGAAUGGCUGAAAUGUAGAGAGAGAAAAGUUGAGUGACCAAGAGGGGAGCAUGGGAAAUAGUAUCUAGAAAAUAAAUAUAAAAUAAUUUAAGAAAAAGUAUUAUUAUUAAAAGUGAAAAUUUAGUAACUGUUUCGUACAAAAGGAACGAGGUCCACGACAACGACGCCAAAAUUUGAUCACCCCCGUAGGCAAGUUUAAAGAUAAACUCGGAAAAACCGAGGUCGUAUUCACGCGGAUUCAUUCCGAGUAUUACUCCUGAAAGUGCGAAGAUGAAAGUCUAAUCGUUGGAAUAGCGGGUAUGAAAGCACACAAAUCGCAAUCGAGUAUAAUGGAUGAGUGAAACCUGUCCGGAAAUGAAUUCACCAAGAAUCAGAGCAAGGAUGGUCAUUGUAACCCUUCUUCCUUGUUGCAGUUUCAUCAUGAUAGGCUACACCUUUUGUUGUU